Molecule: ribosomal RNA, 1288 nt
Filed under: uncultured bacterium
Lineage: Bacteria
Description: bacterial SSU rRNA
Rfam family: Bacterial small subunit ribosomal RNA
Source: RNAcentral
UAACUUAGUGGCGAACGGGUGAGUAACGCGUGAGUAACCUGCCCUGGAGUGGGGGACAACAGUUGGAAACGACUGCUAAUACCGCAUAAGCCCACGGCCCGGCAUCGGGCUGCGGGAAAAGGAUUUAUUCGCUUCAGGAUGGACUCGCGUCCAAUUAGCUAGUUGGUGAGGUAACGGCCCACCAAGGCGACGAUUGGUAGCCGGACUGAGAGGUUGAACGGCCACAUUGGGACUGAGACACGGCCCAGACUCCUACGGGAGGCAGCAGUGGGGGAUAUUGCACAAUGGGGGAAACCCUGAUGCAGCGACGCCGCGUGGAGGAAGAAGGUUUUCGGAUUGUAAACUCCUGUCGUUAGGGACGAUAAUGACGGUACCUAACAAGAAAGCACCGGCUAACUACGUGCCAGCAGCCGCGGUAAAACGUAGGGUGCAAGCGUUGUCCGGAAUUACUGGGUGUAAAGGGAGCGCAGGCGGACCGGCAAGUUGGAAGUGAAAACUAUGGGCUCAACCCAUAAAUUGCUUUCAAAACUGCUGGCCUUGAGUAGUGCAGAGGUAGGUGGAAUUCCCGGUGUAGCGGUGGAAUGCGUAGAUAUCGGGAGGAACACCAGUGGCGAAGGCGACCUACUGGGCACCAACUGACGCUGAGGCUCGAAAGCAUGGGUAGCAAACAGAAUUAGAUACCCUGGUAGUCCAUGCCGUAAACGAUGAUUACUAGGUGUUGGAGGAUUGACCCCUUCAGUGCCGCAGUUAACACAAUAAGUAAUCCACCUGGGGAGUACGACCGCAAGGUUGAAACUCAAAGGAAUUGACGGGGGCCCGCACAAGCAGUGGAGUAUGUGGUUUAAUUCGAAGCAACGCGAAGAACCUUACCAGGUCUUGACAUCCGAUGCAUAGUGCAGAGAUGCAUGAAGUCCUUCGGGACAUCGAGACAGGUGGUGCAUGGUUGUCGUCAGCUCGUGUCGUGAGAUGUUGGGUUAAGUCCCGCAACGAGCGCAACCCUUAUUGCCAGUUACUACGCAAGAGGACUCUGGCGAGACUGCCGUUGACAAAACGGAGGAAGGUGGGGAUGACGUCAAAUCAUCAUGCCCUUUAUGACCUGGGCUACACACGUACUACAAUGGCGUUUAACAAAGAGAAGCAAGACCGCGAGGUGGAGCAAAACUCAAAAACAACGUCUCAGUUCAGAUUGCAGGCUGCAACUCGCCUGCAUGAAGUCGGAAUUGCUAGUAAUCGCGGAUCAGCAUGCCGCGGUGAAUACGUUCCCGGGCCUUGCACACACCGCCCGUCA